CAAAAUGGUCUAUUCAGUUGAUGUGGCACUUACGGACAAUUUACAGGAUAGCGUGAAUACUAGCAAUCAUCCAUGAGGUCUUGGUAAUGUCACAUUCCUAUGCCUACUGGAACAAAUCUCUCCCAGUGGAUCCUCCACAGAUAAUGACUUCUGGAAAUGGAAGGAAAGUUUAAAAUCAGAUCAUGGAGAAACUCAACAAUGAACCAUCCGCAGUUGUUUUGAGCCCCUCCAUUCGAUAUCACGGUCACCAUCUGCAGUCAGAGCUACCUAAGGUGGAAAAUCGGUCCUGAUUAUAUGAUGAAUACCCACUAUCUACUCGUUCUUCUGUCUGUGUUGCAUUUGCUGCUAUGGAAUCCGAAGCAUCUCUCCGGGCAUUCAGUUCAUGUUCUUCUUGCUUUUUAAGGCAAGAAACAGCUGAAUGCUGAGUUAUGGAGACCUUCACCUAUUACGAAUAGAACAGACAGGAUUGAGCCC
Non-coding RNA from Phascolarctos cinereus (koala), 474 nucleotides. NCBI's taxonomy places the organism in Eukaryota, Metazoa, Chordata, Mammalia, Diprotodontia, Phascolarctidae. The record is from RefSeq and is a predicted model, not a curated record.